GGCUACGUCCACACGUACCAGCGUAUUUUUGAAACCGCUGAUUUUUCUAUGCGUUUGCACCUUUUGUCCACACGUAAUGUAUGUCUGGCCGUACAUUGUGUUUGUAUUUCCAGGCGCAUUUCACGAAGCAGAACGCAGUCUUCAGAGAUAUCCACGUGAACGCUGUGAUACGUCUGACCUUCAGUCCGAAGCUGAAACUCAGACCAGUCUUAAAAGAAAGCACAAACCAAAUCCCCUGUACACAUAUACGGACUCAGAGGAUGAGCAGCCUACAAAAAAACGGUUUCCCCAGGCCCCUCGAGUGAAAAUACCAGCCCUCACCACUCCGCAGUCUGCCCCCCAGCCCACUGAUAGCAACCAUCAUAAUGCCCCACCCAGCUUCCGGCACCUUUCGCCACUCCGGCACAAACCGACACAGCUUUGCGAUCUCGCCAGCAUGCAGAGUCUGAUGUCUUCCCUAUAGAUGAUUCCAGAGACUCUGUGAAGCCACUAUUACAAGGUGAGACGCUUUGCGUUGAUUGGUGCUGCUGGACCACACUGGAGGUGCGAGUCCGCCGUGUAAUGGUUUAUGCCAUUACAAAGGAGCUGGCCUCUGUACUCAACUGGGCAGGGAAAAAAUACCAAGGACCAGACAAAGCAAAAAAGGGCAUUUAAAGAGACAGCGCCGUGCAGAUGCAUAUUUGAUGGCCUGGCGCAGCAGGUAGGGGCGAACUCUAUGUCUGAGUUGGUCUUUGCUCAAGCAGUCCAGAAAUGGCUCAGAUAUGCUCCAGGUCGUACGGGUGGCACGCAGGACGCACAUCAUCCAUCCCCAUCCCGGAGUAAAUAAUAAAAAGUGACGUGAAACAUAGAAAUGUAAAUAGGAAACUUUGUCUUUUAAUAAAGUACUUUGCAAAUGA
Pelmatolapia mariae (spotted tilapia) is the source of this 896-nucleotide long non-coding RNA. RefSeq lists it as uncharacterized. The transcript has 6 exons. Lineage: Eukaryota; Metazoa; Chordata; Actinopteri; Cichliformes; Cichlidae. The record is from RefSeq and is a predicted model, not a curated record.